Perca fluviatilis (European perch) is the source of this 189-nucleotide long non-coding RNA. RefSeq lists it as uncharacterized. Lineage: Eukaryota; Metazoa; Chordata; Actinopteri; Perciformes; Percidae. The transcript has 3 exons. The record is from RefSeq and is a predicted model, not a curated record.
UAUCAAUGUGGUUCCUAUCUUCACUAUGGUGGAGGCAACAUCUAUCCCUGGAAAAGAGAUCAAAGGAGAUGGAGGCAACAUGAACAGAAACAAAACCAAGACAGCAGAAACAGAGGAAGUGAUAAGUGUAUCAGAUAUUUAUCAAAAUCAAGACUUAGUGUACUCAAAGCAGCGGACCUCCGAACCACA